Molecule: long non-coding RNA, 548 nt
Filed under: Sus scrofa (pig)
Lineage: Eukaryota; Metazoa; Chordata; Mammalia; Artiodactyla; Suidae
Description: lncRNA (ENSSSCG00015035868.1)
Source: RNAcentral
CACCCAAGACCUACCGCAAGAGAAUAGCCUUGGUAACGUAUUCAUCUUUGUUAGUUCCAUAGAUUAUAUUAUUAUUAUAUGAUUCAAAUAUGAAUAAUUGGUAAUCUUAUUCAAGCAGUGCCAAGAACCAUGGUUUCAAGGGCAUGUCAUCCUGAACAGGCAAUUUCUUUUUCUGAUUUUGAAGCCAAAUGACAUGCACCUUGUUUCAUAAGCAUCAGGAUUACAGCGGAAAGAAUAAGGAAAACGAUGGGUCCCUUUCCUCCCUUUCCACAAGGCCUUACAUCUGAUUUAAGAAUUCAAGUGUUUUUCCCAAGGAUCCACAGACAUUAAGAAACAGAGGCAAAUUGUGAAAUGCCUUUACGGUCAAGGUAGCAAGUGGGAAGCAAAUGAGUCACAGAACAGAAUGGGCAGACCGCUCUUCAGGGGAUGGAUGCAGGAGAGCCACGAGAGACGGAAGAGAGGAGGGCUGGAUGAAGCCCUGGCGACCACUAGGUGGAGGUCACACCUUUAAUGCAAUAUCAACCCUGUUUUGUAAACGAGCAGACUGA